UACGCAGAGGUAUAGAGAGAUUGUAAAGUUAGUAUGAAAUCUUCCAUACCACUCGAAUGAUGCAAAUAAUUUCAUACUAUAGUAUAUAACUUCAUACUAUAGUAUAUUACGUCAACCACACUAAGUGCUGAAGAACUGAAAAUAGAAGAGCGACAGAAAAGCAUCGUACGAUGGCAAUUUCAGUGGGAUGCCGCAGUGAAGGGCAGGUGGACGUACCGUCUCAUACCAUGGAUUGACGUUUGGCUGAAUCGUAAUCACGGUGAGGUCAACUACUAUCUAACGCAGAUGCUAUCAGGAUAUGGCUGCUUUCGAGAAUACUUACACCGUUUCAAGCACGAUAAUUCUCAGGAGUGUCCGUCCUGUCCAGGAGUUAAUGAAGAUGCGGAGCAUGUUUUCUUUGUUUGCCCACGAUUUUAUUCACAGCGUGAUCAACUUGAAAAUAUCUUACACCAGAGUAUCCGACCAGAGACACUAGCAGAAACAAUGUUGUCGUCAAAAGCCGCAUGGAACGCCGUAAGCACGUUUGCAACAGAGGUCCUUACAGACCUGCGUUCCAUCGAAAGAAGAAGAGCAAAUGACAGAAACUAGAAGGAAGGAAAAAUAACACCUUACACGAUCUUGCGUGACUACAACUCACACCUCAGUCCAGAAGGAGGCAGUACGAUCUAUCUAGUGACCUUGUAGACAUCCACAGAGAAGAUUAGCAUGGCCCCUGCGCAAGGAUGACACGCAAAAUCGUGAAGCGUUCCACAUUUUU
Cotesia glomerata is the source of this 757-nucleotide long non-coding RNA. RefSeq lists it as uncharacterized. The record is from RefSeq and is a predicted model, not a curated record. The transcript is spliced from 2 exons. NCBI's taxonomy places the organism in Eukaryota, Metazoa, Arthropoda, Insecta, Hymenoptera, Braconidae.